AUCAACUUUCGAUUGGUAGGAUAGAGGCCUACCNNNGNGGUAACGGGUAACGGGGUGUUAGGGCACGACACCGGAGAGGGAGCCUGAGAAACGGCUACCACAUCCAAGGAUGGCAGCAGGCGCGCAAAUUACCCAAUCCCGACACGGGGAGGUAGUGACAAUAAAUAACAAUACGGGGUUCUUAAGGAUCUCGUAAUUGGAAUGAGUACAAUUUAAAUCUCUUAACGAGGAACAAUUGGAGGGCAAGUCUGGUGCCAGCAGCCGCGGUAAUUCCAGCUCCAAUAGCGUAUAUUAAAGUUGUUGCAGUUAAAAAGCUCGUAGUUGAAUUUCGGGGUUAGUAGGUUGGUCAUGCCUCUGGUAUGUACUGGUCUCACUGACUCCUCCUUCCUUAUGAACCGUAAUGCCAUUAAUUUGGUGUUGCGGGGAAUUUGGACUGUUACUUUGAAAAAAUUAGAGUGUUUAAAGCAGGCUAACGCUUGAAUACAUUAGCAUGGAAUAAUGAAAUAGGACGUUCGAUCUUAUUUUGUUGGUUUCUAGGAUUGACGUAAUGAUUAAUAGGGAUAGUUGGGGGCAUUAGUAUUCAAUUGUCAGAGGUGAAAUUCUUGGAUUUAUUGAAGACUAACUACUGCGAAAGCAUUUGCCAAGGAUGUUUUCAUUAAUCAAGAACGAAAGUUAGGGGAUCGAAGACGAUCAGAUACCGUCGUAGUCUUAACCAUAAACUAUGCCGACUAGGGAUCGGAUGAUGUUAAUUUUUUAAUGACUCAUUCGGCGCCUUACGGGAAACCAAAGUGUUUGGGUUC
Molecule: ribosomal RNA, 800 nt
Filed under: uncultured Glomus
Lineage: Eukaryota; Fungi; Glomeromycota; Glomeromycetes; Glomerales; Glomeraceae
Description: SSU rRNA
Rfam family: Eukaryotic small subunit ribosomal RNA
Source: RNAcentral